Molecule: ribosomal RNA, 487 nt
Filed under: uncultured bacterium
Lineage: Bacteria
Description: bacterial SSU rRNA
Rfam family: Bacterial small subunit ribosomal RNA
Source: RNAcentral
AUUGAACGCUGGCGGCAUGCCUUACACAUGCAAGUCGAACGGUAACAGGGAGCUUGCUCCGCUGACGAGUGGCGAACGGGUGAGUAAUGUAUCGGAACGUACCAUUCAGUGGGGGAUAACGUAGCGAAAGUUACGCUAAUACCGCAUAUUCUGUGAGCAGGAAAGCAGGGGAUCGCAAGACCUUGCGCUGAUUGAGCGGCCGAUAUCAGAUUAGCUAGUUGGUGAGGUAAAGGCUCACCAAGGCGACGAUCUGUAGCGGGUCUGAGAGGAUGAUCCGCCACACUGGAACUGAGACACGGUCCAGACUCCUACGGGAGGCAGCAGUGGGGAAUUUUGGACAAUGGGGGCAACCCUGAUCCAGCCAUGCCGCGUGAGUGAAGAAGGCCUUCGGUUGUAAGCUCUUUCGGUCCGGGAAAAGUACGACAUCAGUUAAUACCUGGUGUGGAUGAUGGUACCGGAAGUAAGAAGACACCGGCGUAACUACGUG